RNAcentral lists this ribosomal RNA (468 nucleotides) under uncultured bacterium. RNAcentral describes it as "partial 16S ribosomal RNA". It matches the Rfam family "Bacterial small subunit ribosomal RNA", at positions 28 to 507 of the family's 1533-position model. The record is from RNAcentral.
GACGAACGCUGGCGGCGUGCUUAACACAUGCAAGUCGAACGGAAAGGCCCUGCUUUUGUGGGGUGCUCGAGUGGCGAACGGGUGAGUAACACGUGAGUAACCUGCCCUUGACUUUGGGAUAACUUCAGGAAACUGGGGCUAAUACCGGAUAGGAGCUCCUGCUGCAUGGUGGGGGUUGGAAAGUUUCGGCGGUUGGGGAUGGACUCGCGGCUUAUCAGCUUGUUGGUGGGGUAGUGGCUUACCCAGGCUUUGACGGGUAGCCGGCCUGAGAGGGUGACCGGCCACAUGGGGACUGAGAUACGGCCCAGACUCCUACGGGAGGCAGCAGUGGGGAAUAUUGCACAAUGGGGGGAAGCCUGAUGCAGCAACGCCGCGUGCGGGAUGACGGCCUUCGGGUUGUAAACCGCUUUCGCCUGUGACGAAGCGUGAGUGACGGUAAUGGGUAAAGAAGCACCGGCUAACUACGUG